Lycium barbarum (goji berry) is the source of this 899-nucleotide long non-coding RNA. RefSeq lists it as uncharacterized. NCBI's taxonomy places the organism in Eukaryota, Viridiplantae, Streptophyta, Magnoliopsida, Solanales, Solanaceae. The record is from RefSeq and is a predicted model, not a curated record. The transcript is spliced from 3 exons.
AUUAGUAGAUAAGGUGAAUGUUUGGUGAAUUACGUGUAUCAUUCUUUUGGUGUUACAUGUAAGGCUUAAAAUUAAUCCAUGUGGUGUGCUAGUGGAAGUGGAGGGACCUACGUGUCACACUAGCAAUUCAAUAGGUCCAAGAUAGGGCUAGCAACCCCUUUAUACGUAGAAAAAAAUUUCAUUUGAUGGGAAUCUAAUAUGUCAACAGCCUUUACUUUCAGUUUCUUUGGAAAAGCAACGUCUUCAUUGAAGGAGUGAAAAAAAAAAAAGAAACGUUGCUAGAAACUCUUGAGGGCAUUUAAUAAAAAUAAUUGUGUUAGAAGAAGUUACUUACUGUUUUUAAUACAUUUGGCAAACUUUCGGCCAAUUCUCACUCCAACAAGAAUUUCAGAAACGUUAGAGUAAAAUUAACGGUUUUUCUCCACUUAUCCAGAUUGGUGAAGCCCGAGACCUAAGUUAUGAUUAACUUGAGAAGCGACAAGUUACAGAUGCUCACGUUAGGUAACCCGCCAGCUUAGGAGUCCUAUUCAGCUAUCUUGGAGAGCUCCCUUGUUCCGGAGCCUAGUUUUUGGUACAGAAUCUCUUGUGGUGUAUAUGUAUUUUAUCCAGGGGUACGGCGGGGCCCUGUCCCGUCAUAUGAUACUGUUGUUACUCUUAGAGGUCUGUAGACAUAUGUGUGGGUUGUGUAUAAGUUCCGUUCAGCUGUGUCUAUACGAUGUGCUAUGAUAUGAUGUCUAUCUGUAGUGGCAGCCUUGUCGGCUUGCAUAUGACACGAUAUUGAUGUAUAGUGGCAGCCUUGUCGGCUUGCGUAUCAUUUUACGAUUUGAUCAGUUGUGACUCCUCAGGAGACAGUUUAUCUAAAUAUACAUAUAUGAUGACGUUAUGAACCGUUGGAGUUC